ACCAUCUUGGAAACGAGAAAACAUUUAUUUUCCAUAGAAUCAGCAUAUCUUGUUCUAGUUUUACCACUUCAACCCAGUCAUCAAGCUUGUGAUUUCAACUUCAAUGGUGCAGAUAUAUAAUGUGUUUAUCGGUCGACAACCAGGAAUAUAUGAUAACUGGGAGGAUGCAAAAGCUCAAGUGCAUCGAUUUAGCGACAAUUUAUAUAAAUCAUAUACCAGUAAAGAUGAAAAGUGAUAUUCCAUCUCAA
Molecule: long non-coding RNA, 248 nt
Organism: Ipomoea nil (Japanese morning glory)
Lineage: Eukaryota; Viridiplantae; Streptophyta; Magnoliopsida; Solanales; Convolvulaceae
Exons: 4
Source: RefSeq, a predicted model, not a curated record